This 382-nucleotide ribosomal RNA is filed under the name uncultured eukaryote. Its description in RNAcentral is "partial 18S ribosomal RNA". It matches the Rfam family "Eukaryotic small subunit ribosomal RNA", at positions 592 to 976 of the family's 1831-position model. The record is from RNAcentral.
CAAUAGCGUAUAUUAAAGUUGUUGCAGUUAAAAAGCUCGUAGUUGGAUUUCUGGUUGAAGCGACCGGUCGGGCGUUGAUUCGUCUGCACUGGAGUCGGUUUUGGCCAUCCUCUAGGAAAGUGCGUCUGGUAUUAAGUUAUCGGGCGUAUGAUCCUGGUCUUUUACUGUGAAAAAAUUAGAGUGUUUAAAGCAGGCCUUCGCCUUGAAUACAUUAGCAUGGAAUAAUAAGAUAGGACUUUGGUCUAUUUUGUUGGUUUGCAGACCGAAAUAAUGAUUAAUAGGGAUAGUUGGGGGUAUUUAUAUUCCGAUGUCAGAGGUGAAAUUCUUAGAUUUUCGGAAGAUAAACUUAUGCGAAAGCAUUUACCAAGGAUGUUUUCAUUAA